This is a long non-coding RNA of Empidonax traillii (willow flycatcher), 360 nucleotides long. RefSeq lists it as uncharacterized. NCBI's taxonomy places the organism in Eukaryota, Metazoa, Chordata, Aves, Passeriformes, Tyrannidae. The transcript is spliced from 3 exons. The record is from RefSeq and is a predicted model, not a curated record.
CAAGGAAGUGCUGUAACUGAAAAAGCUACAGAGUCAACAGAAGAUAGUAUCCAUCUCCUUCCAGCUCUGUCUUUGAAAAAGCUCACAGGUGUGGGAUUUGGGAUAUGGCCCUAUCAACUUGUUGCAACAGAAGCUCCACCAACUGGUGGAAUUGCCCUGGAAUUCUGCAAUACCACAGAUGGGGAGGCUUGAAUAUUCCUGGACUGACUCAGCCUGUUCACGUUGCCUGGCUUAUAAGACAAUAGACGAUUCUUUCUUGCUCGUGGAGAUCCAAAAUUAAACGUAAAGGAGGUCACAUACUAACAAAUGGAACUACUGCCUUUUAGACAAACCCCCAGACUGAACUGUGAUCAUAUUAAG